CUGGUGUCAGCCGCCGCGGUAAUACCAGCUCUCCGAGUGGUAGGGACGAUUAUUGGGCUUAAAGCGUCCGUAGCCUGUUCAGUAAGUCUUCCGUUAAAUUCAGCGACCCAAUCGUUGAGCUGCGGGGGAUACUGCUGGGCUAGGAGGCGGGAGAGGCCAACGGUAUUCCCGGGGUAGGGGUGAAAUCCUAUAAUCCCGGGAGGACCACCAGUGGCGAAGGCUGUUGGCUAGAACGCGCUCGACGGUGAGGGACGAAAGCUGGGGGAGCGAACCGGAUUAGAUACCCGGGUAGUCCCAGCCGUAAACGAUGCGGGCUAGGUGUUGGGGUGGCUACGAGCCACUUCAGUGCCGCAGGGAAGCCAUUAAGCCCGCCGCCUGGGGAGUACGGCCGCAAGGCUGAAACUUAAAGGAAUUGGCGGGGGAGCACCACAAGGCGUGAAGCUUGCGGUUCGAUUGGAGUCAACGCCGGGAACCUUACCGGGAGCGACAGCAGGAUGAAAGCCAGAUUGAAGGUCUUGCUGGACAAGCU
This 529-nucleotide ribosomal RNA is filed under the name uncultured archaeon. RNAcentral's name for it is "bacterial SSU rRNA". It matches the Rfam family "Archaeal small subunit ribosomal RNA", at positions 452 to 981 of the family's 1478-position model. The record is from RNAcentral.